GUGACGAUAGCCUAGGAGAUACACCUGUACCCAUGCCGAACACAGCAGUUAAGCCCUAGAACGCCUGAUGUAGUUGGGGGUUGCCCCCUGUGAGAUAAGGGAUCGGUUAGG
Molecule: ribosomal RNA, 111 nt
Filed under: Streptococcus pyogenes MGAS2111
Lineage: Bacteria; Bacillati; Bacillota; Bacilli; Lactobacillales; Streptococcaceae
Source: RNAcentral